CGAACGGGUGAGUAACAUAUCGGAACGUGCCUAGUAAUGGGGAAUAACUAAUCGAAAGAUUAGCUAAUACCGCAUACGAUCUAUGGAUGAAAGCGGGGGACUCGUAAGGGCCUCGCGCGAUUGGAGCGGCUGAUAUCAGAUUAGGUAGUUGGUGGGGUAAAGGCCUACCAAGGCAACGACGGGUAGCUGGUUUGAGAGGAUGAUCAGCCACACUGGGACUGAGAUACGGCCCAGACUCC
RNAcentral lists this ribosomal RNA (239 nucleotides) under uncultured bacterium. Its description in RNAcentral is "partial 16S ribosomal RNA". It matches the Rfam family "Bacterial small subunit ribosomal RNA", at positions 99 to 339 of the family's 1533-position model. The record is from RNAcentral.